UUAUCCCAACCCAAACAAGUUUCUUUCUCUCUGUUUCUCUCUCUCUACCUUCAAAAGUUCCUUAGCUUCUCAUCAAGGGCUGCAUUAGGUGAUUUGAAAAGAGAGGGUCAAAUCAAUAGAACUUCCCCUGUUUUGAUCUGUUCGCAGCUGUGGUGGAAGUGCAGGUGAUCUGAGUCUGACACAGAGCUUUACCUCUUGCAAGUGAAGGGACUCAUAAAUCCCAAACAAACAUAGAUCGGACACACAUAUUGUGACAAGAUCUUAGAAGGCUAAAAAGUUAGCUUCCGUUACCAAGAAUUGUUUGAUGGGUUGAUCCAAAAUUCACACUCCAAACCAGAUUCGCAGCACUGAAAGGUACAGCUAACUCAAGUCUUAGAAUGUUAAUUUUCGUAUGUGGGGAAGAGUACUAUAAUACUAUUACGAGGUUUUAAAUUCUGGUCAUCGUUGUCAUGAUUUUUGAUGUUAUGAAAAAUUACAGAUAGAAAUUGUUGAUACGAUUACGCUUACGGUUGUGCCAUGAGUUAAAUACAGUCAAAAUCGCAAUCA
Vigna umbellata (rice bean) is the source of this 546-nucleotide non-coding RNA. The record is from RefSeq and is a predicted model, not a curated record. NCBI's taxonomy places the organism in Eukaryota, Viridiplantae, Streptophyta, Magnoliopsida, Fabales, Fabaceae.